AUCACUUUUGUACGGCUGUUUUAUUGGAGUAUUUGUUCUCGGGUGGAUUUCGGAUAAUAUUGUAAAGAUCAAGAACAAUAAAAAUACUUAGGAAUAAUAAUAUGAAGAAAACACUUAAACAUCUAAAGUGUAAAUAUAAGUGAAUUUUCAACUAAAUACGACUAUAAUAAGAUGUGAUAAGUAGAAUUAUAUUCACUGUUAUCUCAAUGAGUGCUUUGAUUCCUGGUCGAGUGCUUGUUUAGGUAUUACCGCAUCUAAACAUCAAAUAUGGAUUUAGUCAGAUUUUUGGGCAUUAUCUUUUUUAUGCUUCGCUUACACACUCCCAAGACUGUUCCCCGUGUUCCUGCUGCAGACAAGGAACGGGAUGCUCCUACAACACUCAACUCGGGAUAUUCAACUACUGCUGGGAAGGAUGUAUUGAUGGAUUCAUGAGUCCUCAGUGUCAGAAACCCUGUGUUAACCAACGUUGUCAGACAUGUUCAACAGAGACUAUAUGUGAUGCAUGUCAUGAUGGGUAUUACGGCAACCAAUGUUGUAAUAAUCAACGUUGUCAGACAUGUUCAACAGAGACUACAUGCGAUACAUGUUAUGAUGGAUAUUACGGUGACCAAUGUCAAAGCCCAUGUCCCAGUACGUGUACCACGUGCACCUCUAGUACAUUAUGUUCAUCCUGCAUGGACGGGUUUUACGGCGACCAAUGUCAAAGCUCAUGUCCCAGUACGUGUACCACGUGCACCUCUAGUACAUUAUGUACAUCCUGUAGGGGCGGGUAUUACGGCGACCAAUGUAAAAGCUCAUGUCCCAUUACGUGUACCACGUGCACCUCUAGUACAGUAUGGACAUCCUGUAAGGACGGAUAUCACAGGGGGUCGGGGACAACGUGUUUAUAUUUGUGUAAGACAGAGUGUUUAUCUUGCACCAAUGGAACAUCCUGUACUGCAUGUAAGGUUAAGAGUGGUGUUGGAUAUUAUGGAAGUGAUUGCUCACUGAUAUGCAGUAACAAGUGCAAAGACUAUCUAUGCGAUAUAUAUGGAAACUGUCUGCAAUGUAAUGACCCCAAUUUCAUAGGUGAUAACUGGGAUAUAUGUAUUGAUGGCAAAUACGGAAAUCAGUGUAAGAAUGCUUGUCCUUUAAAUUGUAUAUCGUGCGAAUCUGACACACACUGUACUUCAUGUACAAAAGGAUUUAAGGGUAUCGCGUGCACAACGAUGAUGCAAUGCCCAGAUAAUUGUUUAAAUAAUACAGUUUGUUUAAGCUCUGGUAAAUGUAAAUCAUGUUUAGACGGAAUUUUUGGCGACUAUUGCAAUAUGACCUGUUCACAAAAUUGCAGGUAUGGAUACUGCAAUCAAGACGGGUCUUGUAAAGCAGGUUGUAAGGACGGAUUUACUGGAUCAAUGUGUGAAAUAAAGAUUUGCCCGCCGAACUGCAUUUGUGAUAGCUGGAAAAACUGUAUAGGGUGUAAAAGUAAUUAUUUUGGGCCUUCAUGUUCUCGUACCUGUAGUUGAUGUAAAGAUAAUAUAUGCCCUGUAGAAACUUUAAAUGCAGUGAAAUGUAGUGAAUGUGAAGGCGGGAUGUAUGGUAAUCUCUGUAAUGAUAGAUGUCCAGACAAUUGUUUAAAUAAUAAGUGCGACCAAGACAGUGGGGCAUGUACUUGCGAAAACGGAUACAAAUUUCAAGAUAGUACAUGUGUCCGAAGCAUAUGCCAAGCUAACUGCUCCACAUGUAUUUCGUUUGAUAAUUGUAUUUCUUGUGUUGAUAAGUAUUAUUAUGGAGAUACCUGUAAGCACGAAUGUAGCAACUGCAGGUCAGGAACAACCUGUAGGAAGAAUGAUGGUUACUGUCAGACUGAAUGUGCAGACGGGUUUAGUGGUUAUUAUUGCGAUACUCCUUGCAAUGAUGGAUGUGCUACAUGUACACGUAGCCAAACUAAUGAAUGUUUGUCAUGUCAAAAUGGAAGACAUGGCUAUGAUGGAUCAUACUACACAUGUAGGAACACCUGCAAUAAUGCAUGUGCGAACAAUUCUUGUGACGCUUUGAACGGUCAAUGUGACUAAGGCUGUGUAGAUGGAUAUUCGGGACCGUUUUGUAACAUGUAGUGUCCAUCAAAUUGCAAAUCGUGUCACCAAGUCAACGGCGAAUGUGAUUUAUGUGCGUAUGUUUUUUGGGGCGAGUACUGUUUGAACAAUUGCAGCGAAAAUUGUACACAUAUAAAUGAGUCGUUGUCAAGUUGUGACAUAAGAUCUGGUGAAUGCAAAUAUGGAUGCUUACAUGGGACUCACGGCUCACUCUGCAGUAUUGAAUGUGACCAAAAGUGUAUCGCUUCUGAAAAUGGGGUUCGUGAGUGCAGACAGAUGGACGGACAGUGUACCCUAGGAUGUGAGGCAGGGUAUAAGCUGACAACUAAAGGAUACAUAGAAGAAAUUGUGCCCGACAGUGAUAGCAGUAACGGUGUUGUGCAGACAGGCGUUAUGGGCGGAGUCAUUGCUGUUCUAUCGGUUUCGCUUGCUCUUUCUGUUGGUUAUAAUGUUUUCAUGAAAAGACGACAAAAUAGAGAACACCCGGAGAAACGAUCAGCAUCAGACUCAAUAGCUGACAAAGAAGCUCGAACGUACGAACAGUUACAAGAAUGUACAGACCAACCAAACUACCAGAAUGUCAAUGACAAUGGCACUGACAAUUAUUCCGUGUUGUUUGCAGAUACAAACAUGAUGUCCCGGAGAUGAUUUAGAGUCCAUACAACAAAUUGAUUCGAUCACACAGCCUUUCAGCGACUGCCUACGGAAUAUUCGUAUUAACAAAACACUUAUUAACAAUUCUGCAUUUAAAAUGCAUGAACAUAACCUUAAACAAUGUGACUGACACGACGUUAAAAUCAGAUGAUGUCUAAAAUGUAAUUCAAGUCCACGUGCAUUUGAUUGUCACCAUUCAUUGGAUAAACGCUCAUCCAUAUUUAAAUGAAGGCAGUUUAAUAUCGGAUUCUGUUUUUUUGUUUAUCUGAAUAGAGUUGGAAACACCGGACACUAAUAUGAGCAACAUUUUUCUACAUGCUCCAUAUUUUCAUAGUUUUUACAAUUGCCAUCAUUCGUAGCCCCUAUCUUAUUCUUCUAUGACUCGAGUUAAAGCGGUCAUUUUUAAAGGAGACUUUCAAAAUAAUAGAUUUAAAUUCGUUCUGGAAAUCCGUUAUUUGUGAAACAUGAACUGGAGCUUUAGCUUUGGUCAGAUUCAGUUCAAAAAGCGAAACGGAGAUGAGUGAAACAAUUGGUCGUUUCACAAACAUCAGUUUAAAACCUUAUUUUAUUUUAAAACAUAUUUCUUGAUUCUUGUACUGCAAUGGAAUAGUAGAUGUCGUUCUUGUUUUUCAUUUGAUUUUUGUCCUAUAUAAGGUAUAAGUCUGCAUGACUCGUUCUUGAUGAUCAGAUUGCAUUUGCUGAGAGCCUUUUUUUAUUCCAUUCUAAUGUUAAUAAAUAAGGUGUUGCUUAUACACAUUUUUAUACUUGGAAAGGUCAGUUUAUAUCCCCACACCAAUGUCAACUUACGCGCUUAAUUGUGAGGUUUGCGAUACUCAAAUAUGUGUAUUUUGGAUGCGUAGUAAUCCAUUGUAGUGUAUCAACAGCAACAUCAUACACCUUUUGUUUGUGCAUGAAUUAAUGACUUGAGUAUACUUAAGAUACAAAACAGUGUGAAGGAAAAUGAGAAAACAGUGAGUUUGACAAUAUAUUAUAUGACUGUAUUUACAUUGUAGAGUGCCAUGUUUUAACGAUUUUCACUUUAUGACUACUUAAAGUAUAAUUAUUUAAAUGAGUUAUGUGGUGAUAAAUCUAUGUGUCCACAUUUAUUCUAUUAUUGAUGUAAGAAUGUAUAAAUAUGUCAUGUGUUGCAAUUUCAAAAUUUAUUGUGACGGUAUUUACAACGCGGAAAUACUAUCUAGAUAGUUUGUAAGAUGUAUCAACGUGCACAGAGUUUUGAAUAUAUUCACGGAUUGAAGCAAAUGUUUCUAAUGCAUUUUUCACACUGUCUGUAUGUUAUAGAUAUCUUUUAUCUUAAACAUCGAAUAUACUUACAAUCAUAAAUUCAAUUAAACAUCACUUUAACUAUGCUAUAUUAUUUUUUGUUUCUUUUUGGCUCGAUGCCAUGCACUACAAUUAAUCAAGGUCAUGUCAUGUUAUGUUAUUUAUGUUAUUCUCUGUCGCUAGUAAAUCAGUAGGAUGUAAUUGGGAACACCAAUCAAA
RNA transcript from Mya arenaria, 4229 nucleotides. RefSeq lists it as uncharacterized. The transcript has 6 exons. The record is from RefSeq and is a predicted model, not a curated record. NCBI's taxonomy places the organism in Eukaryota, Metazoa, Mollusca, Bivalvia, Myida, Myidae.